UGGGUUACUCAGUUGGUAGAGCAUGAGACUCUUAAUCUCAGGGUUGUGAUUUCAAGCUCCACCUUAUGAA
Molecule: non-coding RNA, 70 nt
Organism: Podarcis lilfordi (Lilford's wall lizard)
Lineage: Eukaryota; Metazoa; Chordata; Lepidosauria; Squamata; Lacertidae
Source: the annotation of a GenBank genome assembly